This 253-nucleotide ribosomal RNA is filed under the name uncultured bacterium. Its description in RNAcentral is "partial 16S ribosomal RNA". It matches the Rfam family "Bacterial small subunit ribosomal RNA", at positions 524 to 776 of the family's 1533-position model. The record is from RNAcentral.
UACGUAGGGUGCGAGCGUUAAUCGGAAUUACUGGGCGUAAAGCGUGCGCAGGCGGUUUUUCACGUCAGAUGUGAAAUCCCCGGGCUCAACCUGGGAAUGGCAGUUGGGACGGCAAGGCUUGAGUGCGGCAGAGGAGACUGGAAUUCCUGGUGUAGCGGUGAAAUGCGUAGAUAUCAGGAGGAAUACCGAUGGCGAAGGCAGGUCUCUGGGCUGACACUGACGCUCAGGCACGAAAGCGUGGGGAGCAAACAGG